AUCCAGCUGACGAGUCCUAAAUAGGACGAAACGCGCGUCCUG
This 42-nucleotide non-coding RNA is filed under the name Schistosoma mattheei. Lineage: Eukaryota; Metazoa; Platyhelminthes; Trematoda; Strigeidida; Schistosomatidae. The record is from RNAcentral.